This 1491-nucleotide unclassified non-coding RNA is filed under the name Hevea brasiliensis (rubber tree). Lineage: Eukaryota; Viridiplantae; Streptophyta; Magnoliopsida; Malpighiales; Euphorbiaceae. The record is from RNAcentral.
GUUUGUUUCCUUAGCAAAUGGAAGGAAUUUUGAAAAAUAAUAAUGAAAAGGGCUGUAAUUUUAGUCUAUGCUAUUCAAGCACACUUGAGUGGUUGUUUUUGUUUUGUAUGUAUUGUUUUAAUUCAGGGAUAGAAAGUUAUGUAAUUGAUUUGCACAUUGAAGGCAUUUGAUGCUAUGUUUAUUGAAGAAAAAUAUUAUAGACGUUAUCAUGCGUUCUAUUGCUGAUGAUAAAUGGGAGUAAAUGAGGUUUCGAAUUUGGUGUUUGCACUUGAUCUUGGAUUGCAAAAAUUGGAAUAUGACAAAUCAAAGGUAUCAGCUCAGUAUAGAGUUACUUUUGAGCUGUUAUCAUUUCUUUUUUGGUCACUGAUAAAUGCUAGGGAAGAGGUGAAAAUAAAUUUUGGGACUUAAUAUUUACAUUUCAUAGAAAUUUGAGUAUUUUUUGGUUUAUGUGACCAUCCAUGCAAGCCUCUAGAGAGGUCUUUAGCCUCACUUCCCCUUCCCUUUUUGAAUUCUCCUAAAGAAAUUAAUAUUUAUUUAUAAUUAAUUGAAUUGUCUGUUUUAUUAAAAUAAUCAAUUUAGAUAAUGUACUUUGAGUUCUAGUUAUUGGUUUGGGCAAUCUUCAAGCUAGAUGUAAUUUGGGUCUUGCUGGAACCUGAGAAAACAACAUUACCAGUGGUUGUUGGCAUAUAUUUUGUCUUUUAUGAGUUAGAAGACGUUAAGAAUCUGUGGGAUAUGCAGCAUGAAGCUCAUAGUUUGUUUCUUUAUUGACCCCGGGUCCCUGUAUACUUCCCAUGUAAAGAAGCUGGAGAGAAUAGUGGACUAAGCUCUAAGUAUGAAUUAGAGUUUUGAAUUUAGAAUAGUUUGUUUUGUCUUAUCAAAAAAAAUUAUUUGUUUAUUAUGGAUUUGAUAAAUGACCUUGAAAUUAACACACCGUUUGGUAGGCAGAGAACAAAAAAUUUGUAUUAUUUGCAAAUGAGUCUUAGUAGAAUCAAUAUACUGAUAUAUAAUAUAUUAUCAUGUUUAGUGCUUAGAACCUAAUUGAAUUCAACCAACAUUAUGUUCAGAACAGAUGAAGAGAUAGUGUGAGAAGUCCCCUACAUGCUACUGGUAUUUAAGGAGUGAGAAAGGGUGACUGAGUUACUGGUAGUUAAGGAGGGUAGGCAAAUGUAAUUAAAUUUAUACUUUGAUUAGUGUGACAUUCAUUUGUGAAUUCCAUAAAUUUUUAUAGGAAUUGUCUCAAGUGGAUUGAUUUCCUUGUAAAUUAAGGAAUUCAAAUAACGAAUUGCAAAUGAGUUCCUGAAAUUGAAUUUCAUAAAAGUUUUGUGAAAUUUACUUUUUCCAUACACUCUAUUGGGCAUAUUUUAGUCAAGUAUGGGCUUACUUUUUGAUUUUUAUUUGAUUUACUUAUCUGGUGAUCAAGCAUAGUCCUAUUCAGCUAUUCUGAUAGAAGUGACUUUUAAACCUAGGCCUAACUCAAUCUUAUGUGUGACU